This 390-nucleotide unclassified non-coding RNA is filed under the name soil metagenome. Its description in RNAcentral is "partial contains 5.8S ribosomal RNA, internal transcribed spacer 2, and large subunit ribosomal RNA". The stretch from base 1 to 121 matches the Rfam family "5.8S ribosomal RNA", at positions 35 to 154 of the family's 154-position model. The record is from RNAcentral.
GAUGAAGAAGCAGCGAAAUGCGAUACUUGGUGUGAAUUGCAGAAUCCCGUGAACCAUCGAGUCUUUGAACGCAAGUUGCGCCCGAAGCCACUAGGCCGAGGGCACGCCUGCCUGGGCGUCACACGCCGUUGCCCCCCCAUCUACUCCUUCGGGAUUGCGGGGGGGCGGAUGAUGGCCUCCCGUGCGCCUAGCCGCGCGGUUGGCAUAAAUACCAAGUCCUCGGCGACGCACGCCACGACAAUCGGUGGUUGCGAAACCUCGGUUGCCCGUCGUGUGCGUUCGUCGCGCAUCGAGGGCUCGAAAAAAUGCUCGGCUCCGGCUGGGCUUUCAACGCGACCCCAGGUCAGGCGGGGUUACCCGCUGAAUUUAAGCAUAUCAAUAAGCGGAGGA